AUUUUGUACAAUGGGGGAUACCCUGAUCCAGCCAUCCCGCGUGUACGAUGAAGGCCUUCGGGUUGUAAAGUACUUUUGGCAGAGAAGAAAAGUUACCUCCUAAUACGAUGUACUGCUGACGGUAUCUUCAGAAUAAGCACCGGCUACUACGUGCCAGCAGCCGCGGUAAUACGUAGGGUGCAAGCGUUAAUCGGAAUUACUGGGCGUAAAGCGUGUGUAGGCGGUUAGGAAAGAAAGAUGUGAAAUCCCAGGGCUCAACCUUGGAACUGCAUUUUUAACUGACGAGCUAGAGUAUGUCAGAGGGGGGUAGAAUUCCACGUGUAGCAGUGAAAUGCGUAGAUAUGUGGAGGAAUACCGAUGGCGAAGGCAGCCCCCUGGGAUAAUACUGACGCUCAGACACGAGAGCGUGGGGAGCAAACA
Molecule: ribosomal RNA, 420 nt
Filed under: uncultured bacterium
Lineage: Bacteria
Description: partial 16S ribosomal RNA
Rfam family: Bacterial small subunit ribosomal RNA
Source: RNAcentral